AAAAAACUAAUAGCCGUGAUUUUGGCUGAAUGUGACAUGCCAGCCCAUUCCCACCACUUAUUCCAAUUGGGAGAGUUUAAGUGCAACAUUGUCGUUCCUGUCUUUUUGUUUUUAUAUAUAAAAAAAAAAAAAUUGUUAUUAUUGCUAACUUUUGUAAUACUACAAAAAAAAAUGAAACGAUAAACAAAUGUUAACACAUGACAAAAAGACACAUCAUAUACGACUAUGAUAAUAAUAAUAAUUAAAAAUUAUAUGAUGAGGUAGUAAUGUAUCAUUAAAAUUGAAACAAAAAAAACAUAGGAGGAGGGGGCAGAAAUGAAGAAAUGAAACAUAU
Molecule: long non-coding RNA, 334 nt
Filed under: Capsella rubella
Lineage: Eukaryota; Viridiplantae; Streptophyta; Magnoliopsida; Brassicales; Brassicaceae
Description: long non-coding RNA (CRUB_LNC003395)
Source: RNAcentral